GCCAGACUCCUACGGGAGGCAGCAGUGGGGAAUAUUGCACAAUGGGGGAAACCCUGAUGCAGCGACGCCGCGUGAGUGAAGAAGUAUUUCGGUAUGUAAAGCUCUCUCAGCAGGGAAGAAAAUGACGGUACCUGAUUAAGAAGCCCCGGCUAACUACGUGCCAGCAGCCGCGGUAAUACGUAGGGGGCAAGCGUUAUCCGGAUUUACUGGGUGUAAAGGGAGCGUAGACGGUGAUGCAAGUCAGAAGUGAAAGCCCGGGGCUCAACUCCGGGACUGCUUUUGAAACUGUGUGACUGGAGUGCAGGAGAGGUAAGCGGAAUUCCUGGUGUAGCGGUGAAAUGCGUAGAUAUCAGGAGGAACACCAGUGGCGAAGGCGGCUUACUGGACUGUAACUGACGUUGAGGCUCGAAAGCGUGGGGAGCAAACAGGAUUAGAUACCCUCGUAU
This 446-nucleotide ribosomal RNA is filed under the name uncultured bacterium. RNAcentral describes it as "bacterial SSU rRNA". It matches the Rfam family "Bacterial small subunit ribosomal RNA", at positions 330 to 793 of the family's 1533-position model. The record is from RNAcentral.